GAUGAACGCUGGCGGCGUGCCUAAUACAUGCAAGUCGAGCGAACAGACGAGGAGCUUGCUCCUCUGACGUUAGCGGCGGACGGGUGAGUAACACGUGGAUAACCUACCUAUAAGACUGGGAUAACUUCGGGAAACCGGAGCUAAUACCGGAUAACAUGUUGAACCGCAUGGUUCAACAGUGAAAGACGGUCUUGCUGUCACUUAUAGAUGGAUCCGCGCCGCAUUAGCUAGUUGGUAAGGUAACGGCUUACCAGGGCAACGAUGCGUAGCCGACCUGAGAGGGUGAUCGGCCACACUGGAACUGAGACACGGUCCAGACUCCUACGGGAGGCAGCAGUAGGGAAUCUUCCGCAAUGGGCGAAAGCCUGACGGAGCAACGCCGCGUGAGUGAUGAAGGUCUUCGGAUCGUAAAACUCUGUUAUUAGGGAAGAACAAAUGUGUAAGUAACUAUGCACGUCUUGACGGUACCUAAUCAGAAAGCCACGGCUAACUACGUGC
Molecule: ribosomal RNA, 498 nt
Filed under: uncultured bacterium
Lineage: Bacteria
Description: partial 16S ribosomal RNA
Rfam family: Bacterial small subunit ribosomal RNA
Source: RNAcentral